This is a long non-coding RNA of Homo sapiens (human), 1558 nucleotides long. The record is from Ensembl. NCBI's taxonomy places the organism in Eukaryota, Metazoa, Chordata, Mammalia, Primates, Hominidae.
AGAAGGGCUGUGUCCACCAUGGCUCCUGUCCUCCUGCUGCUCCUCUCUCACUUCCCAGAAUGUUUCUGAAGUCUCAGGAAUGCUGAAAACAAAAACAAAAACCUCCUGAUACACUGCGGUGUUGCCCGGUUAUCUAGAUGAGCAAAACUCAGAGCCUGUGGAGUUGACUUUUUUAUUAUUAUUAUUUUUUGGAAGAAGAGAAAUGAGCCUUUCCUAGUUUUCUUUUCGGCCAGAGGCCGGAGACCAUUCAAGCAGGUAGACAGUCGCUACAGCAUGGACUACUGUCUUUGAGGGAUCAGAGCAGAAACCUCCUUGUCCCUCUCCAGUCACCUCCCUCCAACCCCGAUCAUCUGUGCUUGGGGCUGCCUGAGGCUCCCCGUGACCCAGGGAUGAGGCACUAAGGUGUGAAAUGAGUGAGGACACAGGUCCCAGGGGAGUUCCAGCGAAGAUGUGGCCAGAGUCACUCACAGGCGAAGACACAACCUGAAGUCUGCAGUCUGCCACACAGAAGACAGUCCUCACCAGGGCCCAACCAGGCUGGCACCCUGAUAUCCGACUUCCAGCCUCCAGAACUGGGAGAAAUACAAUUCUGUCUGCCCUGGGGAUGAGCUCCCCAGGCUAUGGCUCUUUGCUCUAACAGCCUGAACUAGCAUAGAAGUGCUAUCCCAUCAUCUGGGUUGUAUUCUAUUCAGAAAGGCGUCACUAACCCCUCAGUGCUGUGAUCCUUGCGGACGCUGCCCACCAUAGGCUGAGAUGAGGCACAGGGUCUGGUUCUAAAUAGAAUCAGAAGGCACUGGAAAGUGCAAUGUCAGAGGACGAUGAGGGCUGAAUUUCAUAUAAUCUCAGCCUCUACUGGUGCGCAUGGAAAACGAGGCCCAGAGCAAAAAUGCCUUUCUCGAGAUCACACUGUGGACCCCAAGCCCAUUGGAGUUGUAUUCCAUGCUACCUCUCACCCCUCACUUCUUCUUGAAAUUCUUCCAUCUCUAAGCGUGUGCAGUAUCUACAGGGGACACCAAACAAUGAGUUUUAUAAGAUUUAUCUCAAAGACACCUGAUGAGUUCACCAGGAAGGAGAUGCUAGCAAAACCCCAUUGUGCAUGUUGCAGGGCUGGGGAGGCCCCAAAACACCAGAAAACUUCUCUAGGGUCACAGAACUGGUAAGAUCAAGGAGGUUUGGCCCAGCACUGUCUCCUCAAACCUAGGGCCUUAGUUGCCUCCAGGUCUUCCCAGGGUGACGAGGGGGCACUUUUUUUGCAUAAUUUGGAACAGGUAAGAAGUUGGUAGGAACAGGUAAGAAUAGGGGGUUGGUGAGUGGUCAGAAGCCCAGUGGGGCCUUUGAGUAGGUCUUAUGGACGGAAGGAGCAUAGGGGAUUGGACCUGGAAGAAGUGAGUCUCCUCUCAGAUCCUGGGCCUUGUGAUGGGCUUUCUCCCACCCUGGAGUCUUCCGGCAUUUUCCCCCUGCCAAGGGCUGAAAUGGCCUUAGCUGUUUCUCCAGACUCCCUUUGAUGUUAAAGGAUGAAAUCCAAUUAUAUUCCUUUAAGUUAAAGCAUUCUUCUAAA